UGUCAUUGUUACGUUUGAAUUGCCGCAUUGAUGCGUAUGCUCAAUAUUUACUCACUCAUUCUUGUAUGUUUAAUGAUAGCCAACCUAGUAAUUCAGGUCUACUUUUUCGUAUUUUUAGCUAAGAAACAUUUAAGGGACAAUCAGUGUCCAAAUGCUUGAUUCUGCUUUAAAUUUAUUAUUAUUCUCUCUUGUGAAGACCUCCAAAUAUACGCAUCUGUUUCAACGUUGAUAACUAAGUAUAAUUAGGAGACAUCAAAUUAAACAUACAUUUAGUUUAAUUUAUUCAUAGAUUGGUUAUUUGUGAAGCUAUGUAAUAUACUCUGUUGAAAAAUGA
Molecule: long non-coding RNA, 334 nt
Organism: Sitophilus oryzae (rice weevil)
Lineage: Eukaryota; Metazoa; Arthropoda; Insecta; Coleoptera; Curculionidae
Exons: 2
Source: RefSeq, a predicted model, not a curated record